UGGGGAAUUUUGCACAAUGGGGGAAACCCUGAUGCAGCGACGCCGCGUGAUUUAGAAGGCCUUCGGGUUGUAAAAAUCUUUUCUAUGGGAAGAAAAUGACAGUACCAUAGGAAUAAGGACCGGCUAAUUACGUGCCAGCAGCCGCGGUAAUACGUAAGGUCCGAGCGUUGUCCGGAAUCAUUGGGCGUAAAGGGUACGUAGGCGGGUAAGCAAGUUAGAAGUGAAAUCCUAUAGCUCAACUAUAGUAAGCUUUUAAAACUGCUUAUCUUGAGGUAUGGAAGGGAAAGUGGAAUUCCUAGUGUAGCGGUGAAAUGCGCAGAUAUUAGGAGGAAUACCGGUGGCGAAGGCGACUUUCUGGCCAUAACCUGACGCUGAGGUACGAAAGCGUGGGUAGCAAACAGG
Molecule: ribosomal RNA, 402 nt
Filed under: bacterium
Lineage: Bacteria
Description: partial 16S ribosomal RNA
Rfam family: Bacterial small subunit ribosomal RNA
Source: RNAcentral